AUAUACCGUCAUAAACACCAAACAAAUAGAAAUGACAUCAGAAAGCAAAGCAAUGAUCAGGUGAAUGGUGCAGAAGUAUUGUCCCUUAAUCAGCAUGACUCUCUACUGAUUGACACUACUAAUGGGACAAACCCUAAGCAGACUGCGACUGAGACACUAAUGUAACAUUAUUCAUUAUUUAAUCAUUACUCAACAUUUAUUUGACAAUAUAAAGUCUUUCUUGUUGUUUCAAUAGAAAAACGUUAACAUAAUUUGGAAUUAUUUAAUUUAAUAUUAGAAAUUUCACUGUAGCUUUUGAAAAAAAAAAAAAAAAAAAAGCUUUUGAGGUUUUCCAGUAAAUAUGAUAAAUGUAAUGCCUCAAAAUAUAUAGCUUCUGGAAAUAAUCAUGAUUAUCAGCUUAACCUUUAUGCAGCAGGACUAACUGUAACUAUGACUUGCACUGACUAAAAUGGCCAGACUUUUAGUCAACCAAACUUAACUGGAAAAACAGGAUAAGUUUGACUAAAUAGAAAACACUAAAUAUUACAUUUGACAAAUCUUAUACCACAUUCAAAAAUAGUUGACAAAAUGAACACUAAAUUGCAGCAGGCUUUACAUUGCAAGACCUGCCAGAUGUUUUCUCUGUUUGUUUGUUUGUUUGUUUGUUUGUGGUGUCAUAGCUUUGUGGUUCAAAUCCAGCAAGGGUUGAUCCAUGAAAUCUCACCAUUGUGUCCUUGAUCAAACUCUGAAUCUGCAAUAACUGCACUGAAAGACCUCAUGGAGAGAAGCAGCAACCAAAUGACAAAUGUGUGUUUUUGUACUUUAUUUUUAUAUUCAAAAACUGUUAAUAACUGCUGCACACACCUUUUACUAGUAUUACACAUUUGAAAAACAGCCAUAUGAAAUUUAUUAUUCACAUUUAUUGUAUAUUAAUAGUUUAUUCAUAAUAUCAAUAUGAAUAUCUUAAGAUAUUUGCCAGUUAUCCAUACCAUAUCACGAGUUAGGCUAUUCUUUGUAUUUUGUUGUAACAAAAGUGUUGUAAACAUUCUGCAUUUUGUAAACCAU
Long non-coding RNA from Cyprinus carpio (common carp), 1044 nucleotides. RefSeq lists it as uncharacterized. The record is from RefSeq and is a predicted model, not a curated record. Lineage: Eukaryota; Metazoa; Chordata; Actinopteri; Cypriniformes; Cyprinidae. The transcript is spliced from 3 exons.